CGCCUGGGGAGUGCGGCCGCAAGGCUAAAACUCAAAGAAAUUGACGGGGGCCCGCACAAGCGGCGGAGCAUGCGGAUUAGUUCGAUGCAACGCGAAGAACCUUACCAAGGCUUGACAUAUACUGGACCGCAUCAGAGAUGGUGUUUCCCUUCGGGGCUGGUAUACAGGUGGUGCAUGGUUGUCGUCAGCUCGUAUCGUGAGAUGUUGGGUUAAGUCCCGCAACGAGCGCAACCCUCGUUCUAUGUUGCCAGCACGUUAUGGUGGGGACUCAUAGGAGACUGCCGGGGUCAACUCGGAGGAAGGUGGGGAUGACGUCAAAUCAUCACGCCCCUUAUGUCUUGGGCUUCACGCAUGCUACAAUGGCCGGUACAGAGGGUUGCGAUACUGUGAGGUGGAGCUAAUCCCUAAAAGCCGGUCUCAGUUCGGAUUGGGGUCUGCAACUCGACCCCAUGAAGUCGGAGUCGCUAGUAAUCGCAGAUCAGCAACGCUGCGGUGAAUACGUUCCCGGGCCUUGUACACACCGCCCGUCAAGUCACGAAAGUUGGUAACACCCAAAGCCGGUGGCCUAACCCUUUUGGGAGGGAGCCGUCUAAGGUGGGAUUGGCGAUUGGGACUAAGUCGUAACAAGGUAACCGUA
This 637-nucleotide ribosomal RNA is filed under the name uncultured Rothia sp. RNAcentral describes it as "bacterial SSU rRNA". It matches the Rfam family "Bacterial small subunit ribosomal RNA", at positions 870 to 1504 of the family's 1533-position model. Lineage: Bacteria; Bacillati; Actinomycetota; Actinomycetes; Micrococcales; Micrococcaceae. The record is from RNAcentral.